This 395-nucleotide unclassified non-coding RNA is filed under the name soil metagenome. RNAcentral describes it as "partial contains 5.8S ribosomal RNA, internal transcribed spacer 2, and large subunit ribosomal RNA". The stretch from base 1 to 122 matches the Rfam family "5.8S ribosomal RNA", at positions 35 to 154 of the family's 154-position model. The record is from RNAcentral.
GAUGAAGAACGUAGCGAAAUGCGAUACUUGGUGUGAAUUGCAGAAUCCCGUGAACCAUCGAGUCUUUGAACGCAAGUUGCGCCCGAAGCCAUCAGGUUGAGGGCACGUCUGCCUGGGCGUCACAUAUCGUUGCCCAAUGCCUAUUGCAGUGCAAUAGGAAUUUCUAGGGCGAAUGAUGGCUUCCCGUGAGCGUUGUUGCCUCGCGGUUGGUUGAAAAUCGAGUCCUUGGUAGGGUGUGCCAUGGUAGAUGGUGGUUGAGUUAGAACGAUACCGAUCAUGUGCAUGCUCCCCAAAAUAUGGCCUCUAUGACCCACACGCGUCUUUUGACGCUCAUGACGAGACCUCAGGUCAGGCGGGGCUACCCGCUGAAUUUAAGCAUAUCAAUAAGCGGAGGA